This 253-nucleotide ribosomal RNA is filed under the name uncultured bacterium. RNAcentral describes it as "partial 16S ribosomal RNA". It matches the Rfam family "Bacterial small subunit ribosomal RNA", at positions 524 to 776 of the family's 1533-position model. The record is from RNAcentral.
UACGUAGGGGGCAAGCGUUGUCCGGAAUCAUUGGGCGUAAAGCGCGUGUAGGCGGCCCGAUAAGUCCGCUGUGAAAGUCCAGGGCUCAACCCUGGAAUGCCGGUGGAUACUGUCGGGCUCGAGUCCGGAAGAGGCGAGUGGAAUUCCUGGUGUAGCGGUGAAAUGCGCAGAUAUCAGGAGGAACACCAAUGGCGAAGGCAGCUCGCUGGGACGUUACUGACGCUGAGACGCGAAAGCGUGGGGAGCAAACAGG